AGUGAACGCUGGCGGUAGGCCUAACACAUGCAAGUCGAACGGCAGCACAGUAAGAGCUUGCUCUUACGGGUGGCGAGUGGCGGACGGGUGAGGAAUACAUCGGAAUCUACUUUUUCGUGGGGGAUCACGUAGGGAAACUUACGCUAAUACCGCAUACGACCUACGGGUGAAAGCAGGGGAUCUUCGGACCUUGCGCGAUUGAAUGCGCCGAGGUCGGAUUAGCUAGUUGGGGGGGUAAAGGCCCACCAAGGCGACGAUCCGUAGCUGGACUGUGAGGAUGGUCGGCCACACUGGAGCUGAGACACGGUCCAGACUCCUAAGGGAGGCAGCAGUGGGGAAUAUGGGACAAUGGGCGCAAGCCUGAUCCAGCCAUACCGCGUGGGUGAAGAAGGCCUUCGGGUUGUAAAGCCCUUUUGUUGGGAAAGAAAAGCAGCAGGUUAAGACCCCGCUGUUCUGACGGUACCCAAAGAAUAAGCACCGGCUAACUUCGUG
RNAcentral lists this ribosomal RNA (492 nucleotides) under uncultured bacterium. Its description in RNAcentral is "partial 16S ribosomal RNA". It matches the Rfam family "Bacterial small subunit ribosomal RNA", at positions 29 to 507 of the family's 1533-position model. The record is from RNAcentral.